CCCACAACCACCGUUCCACAAUUCUUUUACAAAGCCCAUUACGUACACGUCCGAUCCUAGCUAUUUCCCUUUCUUUAUCACAAAUACCCACCAUCUUACACCAACUUCAUUUCCUUUAUUCCCCUUCCAACAUUUAUGGAGUCCGUCGCCUCCAGUUCUUCCUCUUCCGACCGCCGUCUCCACCCCCACUUCAGGCCUACCCAACCCUUGCAAGAUCGCAUAUUCCGUGCCCUCCAUCACCACCUCCGACUCCUCCACCGAUCCGAAUCUAACUUCUUUAUCUUGGGUGCCACAGGUAAUGUCUACACCGUUACCUUAACCACCACCCCUUCUUGUACUUGCCCUGACCGUAGAUCCCCAUGCAAGCACAUUCUAUUCGUUCUUAUUCGCGUAUUGGGUGUCUCCCUUGAUGAUACUUGUCUCCGGAGGAGAACUCUCCGCCCCUGCAGGAUCAACCGCCUACUUGACACGUCCUCACUGUCUGAUUCAUUAGCGAGUGCCAGCGUCCGUCAGAGGUUCCAUCAGCUUUUCUUUCAGGCAAGGCAAGGUGGGUUGAGGCCUCAGGUGGAGAUUGAAGAAGGAACGAUGUGUCCAAUUUGUCUUGAUGAAAUGGAGAAGGAAGAGAGGGUGGUGGCUUGUGGUACAUGCAAGAAUGUUGUUCAUGAAGACUGCUUGGUUAGGUGGAGAAGAAGUAGGGGAAGGAGGGGAGGUAGCUGUGUGAUAUGUCGAGCCAGGUGGAGGGAUCAGAGCUCUCAGGAGAGGUAUCUGAAUUUGGCAGCCUAUGUCAGCGAGGAUGACACGGCACCAAGUGGAAGUCUCUGUUCUGGCUAAGGUCCACAUUCUGAUCUCAGGACAAAAGAAAUGUAAAUUAUGGGAUGAUUUCAUUGAUUUGAUUUGUAAAUAAUACAAGCAUACACUAACCUGAAGAAAAUUAAUUCUGUUUUAUGUAUAUAACUAGUUAGGUUUAUCUUUUGUCGACAGAUCAUAAUUUUUAUUAAUUUUAGCUGUUCGUUGCAAGUGCUGACCUUCUUAAGCUUAAAAUCAG
Molecule: unclassified non-coding RNA, 1045 nt
Filed under: Hevea brasiliensis (rubber tree)
Lineage: Eukaryota; Viridiplantae; Streptophyta; Magnoliopsida; Malpighiales; Euphorbiaceae
Source: RNAcentral